RNAcentral lists this ribosomal RNA (301 nucleotides) under uncultured bacterium. RNAcentral's name for it is "partial 16S ribosomal RNA". It matches the Rfam family "Bacterial small subunit ribosomal RNA", at positions 509 to 808 of the family's 1533-position model. The record is from RNAcentral.
CAGCAGCCACGGUAAUACGUAGGUCCCGAGCGUUGUCCGGAUUUAUUGGGCGUAAAGGGAGCGCAGGCGGUUUAGUAAGUCUGAAGUUAAAGGCAUUGGCUCAACCAAUGUAUGCUUUGGAAACUGUUAGACUUGAGUGCAGAAGGGGAGAGUGGAAUUCCAUGUGUAGCGGUGAAAUGCGUAGAUAUAUGGAGGAACACCGGUGGCGAAAGCGGCUCUCUGGUCUGUCACUGACGCUGAGGCUCGAAAGCGUGGGUAGCGAACAGGAUUAGAGACCCCAGUAGUCCCUGUCUCUUAUACA